This 464-nucleotide ribosomal RNA is filed under the name Vreelandella stevensii. RNAcentral describes it as "partial 16S ribosomal RNA". It matches the Rfam family "Bacterial small subunit ribosomal RNA", at positions 338 to 795 of the family's 1533-position model. Lineage: Bacteria; Pseudomonadati; Pseudomonadota; Gammaproteobacteria; Oceanospirillales; Halomonadaceae. The record is from RNAcentral.
CCUACGGGUGGCUGCAGUGGGAAUAUUGGACAAUGGGCGAAAGCCUGAUCCAGCCAUGCCGCGUGUGUGAAGAAGGCCUUCGGGUUGUAAAGCACUUUCAGUGGGGAAGAAAGCCUUGGGGCUAAUACCCUCGAGGAAGGACAUCACCCACAGAAGAAGCACCGGCUAACUCCGUGCCAGCAGCCGCGGUAAUACGGAGGGUGCGAGCGUUAAUCGGAAUUACUGGGCGUAAAGCGCGCGUAGGCGGUCUGAUAAGCCGGUUGUGAAAGCCCCGGGCUCAACCUGGGAACGGCAUCCGGAACUGUCAGGCUAGAGUGCAGGAGAGGAAGGUAGAAUUCCCGGUGUAGCGGUGAAAUGCGUAGAGAUCGGGAGGAAUACCAGUGGCGAAGGCGGCCUUCUGGACUGACACUGACGCUGAGGUGCGAAAGCGUGGGUAGCAAACAGGAUUAGAUACCCGAGUAGUC